UUGAGAGGGUAAGGCUCCCAGUAGACGACUGGGUUGAUAGGCCGGAUAUGGAAGCCCUGUAAGGGGUGGAGUUGACCGGUACUAAUAGGCCGAGGGCUUGUCCUCAGUUG
Molecule: ribosomal RNA, 110 nt
Filed under: Streptomyces albidoflavus
Lineage: Bacteria; Bacillati; Actinomycetota; Actinomycetes; Kitasatosporales; Streptomycetaceae
Also listed under: 3 other names
Description: partial 23S ribosomal RNA
Rfam family: Bacterial large subunit ribosomal RNA
Source: RNAcentral